CCCUUAGAUGUUCUGGGCCGCACGCGUGCUACACUGAGUGGAUCAGCGGGUCAGGUUGCGCGAAAGCGUUUCCUAAUCUUUAAAUCCGCUCGUGAUGGGGAUUGACGGUUGCAAUUUUCUGUCAUGAACGAGGAAUACCUUGUAAGCGCGGGUCAUCAUCCCGCGCUGAAUACGUCCCUGCCCUUUGUACACACCGCCCCUCGCUCCUACCGAUUGAGUGGUCCGGUGAGGCUUUGGGAUCUGAGCGGAAAGAGCGUUUCGCUGUUUCUGCUCGGAAAACUCAGUCGAACCUUAUCAUUUAGAGGAAGGAGAAGUCGUAACA
RNAcentral lists this ribosomal RNA (322 nucleotides) under uncultured eukaryote. RNAcentral describes it as "partial 18S ribosomal RNA". It matches the Rfam family "Eukaryotic small subunit ribosomal RNA", at positions 1470 to 1796 of the family's 1831-position model. The record is from RNAcentral.